RNAcentral lists this unclassified non-coding RNA (620 nucleotides) under Drosophila ananassae. RNAcentral's name for it is "GF27271". The record is from RNAcentral. Lineage: Eukaryota; Metazoa; Arthropoda; Insecta; Diptera; Drosophilidae.
UGUUUGAACUCAUUCAACAUCCAACUUUUCUCGCAACAGAAUCAAAUUUUAAGGGACCUUUUAGAAAUAAUUUACACUUUUAUUAAUUUUCCAUUCAAAAAAAAACAAGCAACAAUGGUCACUUUUGGCGGUGUGGCGAAAGUAUUGAAGGGCUUUCAAAACGGCGCAAGCAUCUGGGUGAAAACCGUGAAUCCUGGCUGGUACGAGGCCCGAGUGUUACCCAGGACCAUGUUGAGAGAAAAGAAACCCAAAAGAGUAGUCGAAUCGAACAAGGAAGUGCGGCCCGUUCGCCAACCUCCCAAGACCGCCAUGGCGCUACAGAAAAGCGUAACCACGCAGUAUCCGUUUAUCGAUUGGGAUUGAAACAGAAAAAGAAUAAAUUGUUUUUAAAAUCGUGAAUUUCAAACCGAUGUGUAGUGUGGGGUUGUCUUGGAACAGAUAUAUAAUAUUUCCGGCUAACUAGGUUGUUCUGGCGGAAAAUUAAAAUUGAAAACCAAAAAAACCGUCAGCCUAAAAUUUUAAUUGCUUUUCCAAGCCUUUCAUGGGAAAUCUAAAAAAAGAAAUAUACAGUAACAUAAUAAAGAUUUGGCGUAUACAAUAGUCUCAGUAUACUUUUUAAA